The sequence is a ribosomal RNA, 1957 nucleotides long. It matches the Rfam family "Eukaryotic small subunit ribosomal RNA".
CCAUAUGCUUGUCUCAAAGAUUAAGCCAUGCAGGUCUAAGUACGGCCUCUCGAACAGGUGAAACCGCGAACGGCUCAUUAAAUCAGUCAUGGUUCCUUAGAGCUUACGUCGUGUCUUUUACUUGGAUACCCGUGGUAAUUCUAGAGCUAAUACAUGCAACGAAGCUCCGACGACGACGGCUCCGCGAGGAGUCGCCGUCACGACGAGCGCUUUUAUUAGACCGCAAAGACCGUUCCGUCGGCUGUCGUUCCCUUUAACCGGGGAACGUGGCGGACGCGUUUGCGUGGUGACUCUGGAUAACUCAGCCGAUCGGCCUUCGUUAGGCGUGCCUUCACGGGCACGUCGUGAAGGCCGACGCAACUUUCAAGUGUCUGCCUUAUCAACUUUAGACGGUAGGUCAAGUGCCUACCGUGGUGAUAACGGGUGACGGGGAAUCAGGGUUCGAUUCCGGAGAGGAAGCCUGAGAAACGGCUACCACAUCCAAGGAAGGCAGCAGGCUCGCAAAUUACCCACUCCCGGCACGGGGAGGUAGUGACGAAAAAUAACGGUGCGGGACUCGGUCGAGACCCCGUCACCGGAAUGAGUGACUCUCAAAUCCUCCAACGAGGAACGACCGGAGGGCAAGUCCGGUGCCAGCAGCUGCGGUAAUUCCGGCUCCGGUAGCAUAUGCUAAACUUGCUGCGGUUAAAAAGCUCGUAGUUGGAUUUCAGUCUCGGCCGGCCGCCGUCGCCCGUGUUGGCGGCGGAGGGUCGGUCGGUCAGAAGUCGUCGGCUAGCCCGGAAUGAUCUUGAUCGGUCGUUCGUCGGGUUACGGCCGACGGAGUUUACUUUGAAAAAAUCAGAGUGCUCAGAGCGGGCCCAGAGACAAGCCCGAACGUCGGUGCAUGGAAUAAUGGAAAAAGACCUCGGUUCUGGAAGUCUGUUGGUCCUUCGAACCAGCGAGGUAAUGAUUGAGAGGAACGGCCGGGGGCGAUCGUACCCCGACGCUAGAGGUGAAAUUCUUGGACCGUCGGGUGACGCACCACAGCGAAAGCAUUCGUCAAGAACGCUUCCGUUAAUCAAGAACGAAAGUUAGAGGUUCGAAGGCGAUCAGAUACCGCCCUAGUUCUGACUGUAAACGAUGCCGACCAGCGAUCGGGCUGCGCUCGCCACGACGAGGCGCCCGGAAGCUUUCCGGGAAACCAGAGUGUCUGGGUUCCGGGGGAAGUAUGGUUGCAAAGCUGGAACUUAAAGGAAUUGACGGAAGGGCACCACCAGUCGUGGAGCCUGCGGCUUAAUUUGACUCAACACGGGGAAACUCACCCGGUCCGGACACGGGAAGGAUUGACAGACUGACGGCUCUUUCUCGAUUCUGUGGUUGGUGGUGCAUGGCCGUUCUUAGUUGGUGGAGUGAUUUGUCUGGUUGAUUCCGAUAACGAACGAGACUCUGUCCUGCUAAAUAGCGAGCUUUUGAAAAGGAGAGGUUCGGUUUGCUGGCCGAUCUCUGUCGCCGAUCUCCGUUGCGCGAAACCGUCGAAACUCGUUUCUUCGGCGUAGCGCGACGCGGUCGACCGAUCGGGGAGAGGUGCGGUGACGGCUUCCCUAAAGCUCCGACGAAUCUUCUUAGAGGGACUGGCGACGCAAUUGAAGUCGCACGAGGAAGAGCGAUAACAGGUCUGUGAUGCCCCUAGAUGUCCGGGGCCGCACGCGCGCUACACUGACGCCCACAGCGAGCGCGCAAGCCCGGUCCGAAGGGACCGGGGAACCCCGUCAACGGAACGUCGUGAUGGGGACAGUGGAUUGCAAUUGUUCCACUCGAACGAGGAAUGUCAAGUAAGCGCGAGUCACUAGCUCGCGCUGAUUACGUCCCUGCCCUUUGUACACACCGCCCGUCGCUACUUUUGAUUGAACGGUUCGGUGAGGUCCUCGGACCGGCUUAGGCGCAACGCCGUAGCCGGAAAGUCGAUCGAACCGGUUCG